AACGAACGCUGGCGGCGUGCCUAACACAUGCAAGUCGAACGAGAAAGGGGCUUCGGCUCCGAGUAAAGUGGCGCACGGGUGAGUAACACGUGGGUAACCUGCCUCUAAGAUUGGGAUAACUCGUCGAAAGAUGAGCUAAUACCGAAUAAGACCACAGUUCCCGCGGGAACAGGGGUCAAAGGUAGCCUCUGCUUGCAAGCUAUCACUUAGAGAUGGGCCUGCGCACCAUUAGCUAGUUGGUAGGGUAACGGCCUACCAAGGCAAAGAUGGUUAGCUGGUCUGAGAGGAUGAUCAGCCACACUGGAACUGGGACACGGUCCAGACUCCUACGGGAGGCAGCAGUGGGGAAUAUUGCGCAAUGGGCGAAAGCUUGACGCAGCAACGCCGCGUGAGGGAUGAAGGCCUUCGGGUCGUAAAGCUCUGUCGGGAGGAACGAAUGCUCCUGAGGUUAACAGCCUCGGGAGGUGACGGUACCUUCAAAGGAAGCACCGGCUAACUCUGUG
This 503-nucleotide ribosomal RNA is filed under the name uncultured bacterium. RNAcentral's name for it is "partial 16S ribosomal RNA". It matches the Rfam family "Bacterial small subunit ribosomal RNA", at positions 29 to 507 of the family's 1533-position model. The record is from RNAcentral.